CUAUUCUGCUUUAUAAAAUAGCCCACGACAUCUAGGGAAUUUGUGCAGAACUGUCUUACCAAUACAAUGGAAAUUGUUACUUCUAGAAGAAUUUCCAUUAGCCCUUUGAAAUCCUUCAACAUUCAUUAAGGCCAAGGAAUUUUCACCUAAUUCAAUCUGAUGGGUGCAAGAACAGGGUCUUUCUAGGGAAUACAGACUCCCAGAUUGUUCAGUUGGGAAGUAAGGGGAGAAUUUAUUACUUAAAAUCAAAGGGAAAUGAAAAGAGGCCAACCCAGAAUGUUAUUACUCUCUUUCUCAGGUGGGGGAUUGAGUUCCAAGUCUUUCUGCUCCCUUCACAUGGCCUCCUUACUCAGCAUCUAAAAGCUUUGAGUCUUGGGCACACCCAGCUAGGUUCUCUUCUAAUGUAACAGAAUCUGCUUCAGCAAAGCCAUCUCCAGACUCCAGAAAUGAUAGGUUAGGAUCUGCCAAUAUGGGAGCCAAGAACCAACCAUUCACUGAGCCCUACUGCCCAGUCUCUUUACAAGGCCAUCUCCUCUUACUGUUCAUUUAACAAAAUUGGAGCCCCUUCAGUUCAGUUCAGUUCAGU
Molecule: long non-coding RNA, 586 nt
Filed under: Capra hircus (goat)
Lineage: Eukaryota; Metazoa; Chordata; Mammalia; Artiodactyla; Bovidae
Description: lncRNA (ENSCHIG00010025398.1)
Source: RNAcentral